This 24239-nucleotide long non-coding RNA is filed under the name Zea mays. RNAcentral's name for it is "long non-coding RNA (ZMAY_LNC002731)". The record is from RNAcentral. Lineage: Eukaryota; Viridiplantae; Streptophyta; Magnoliopsida; Poales; Poaceae.
UUCCAUCGAGUGGUGGCAGCGUUCCUCCCUGUGUCCGUCGUUUGUAGAUGGUUCUAGGUCUCUCCUCGUACCAGCGUCUCCAAAUCUCACGCUCUCUCCUCCUCCCCAUCUCCAAUCUCGCACUCUCCUCUCCCAAAAAACCUCAUCUUCCCCGCUCGUCUGCAUUCUCGGCCAUCGGCGGCGCUCCAGAGUUCCAGGUAAUCGUGCUCCCUCCCCCGCCCUCCUCCACCCCAUCUGCUCCAUCCCACUCCGGUUUCCCAUUGCUAGGGUUUAGGGUAGACAUGGCGGCGUCGGCGGUGCCGGCUUUCCCAAUCGUUAGGCCACAACAAUGUGUUGCAUACGGUUUGUGCAUCCGGUAGUACUCGCUGUCCUCUUCCCUCACCUUGUGCGCCACGGACUCGGGGCCGCCGGGCGUCGUGGCCUCGCGCGGCUCCUGCUCCCGCGAGGAGGAGAAGGAAGACAACCCCCGGAUGCUUGCCAACGCGACCCACCGCGCCAGUGGCCUCUUCGGCGCCGGAGAACCGCGGCGGCCGGUCCGUGAAGUCGUCACUCGGCGCCUAGAUGUAUCUGCUGCUCAUCUCCUGGUGCGUCCUGCUCGAUCACACCCGUCACUGCAUUUCCGCCACCAGCUAGCACCGCCUGCUCGGCCCUAUCUCUCUCCUCUUCUUUACACCUCACCUCCGGAUCACUCAGAGAUUGAGCCGUAGCCCAACUGGUCGCCGCGUCCCUCGCCCCUCCCCUCGCGCGCAGCAGCAGAGCACCACAGCGAGCAAUGGAGGCGGUGGGCGUCGACCUGGCGCUGGGCGGCAUCGCCGCGUCCCUCCCCGCUCCCCCCGCGCGCAGCAGCAGAGCACCACAGCGAGCAAUGGAGGCGGUGGGCGUCGGCCUAGCGCUGGGCGGCCUACAAGUGCCCACCGGGAGAAAGAACUGUACUUCCUAGAGGAAUAACUCUAUCAGUGACAUGGGGCCAGUGGAAGAAAUUCAGGCAACAACAAUAUCUUUGCUGCACAUGAAAAUGGUAAUAUAACUGCAAGUUGGCAUGAGUUUUUGUUUUGGCAUAUCUUAGUUGCACAUAAAUUUGCUAAUCCGAUGAUACUAAGGAAAUCUAAUGCAGCAGCAACUGACUACAGCACGAUUAAUCAUAAAAUAGUAACUUAAUCAGAUAUGUCCUUGAUUACAUCAGCUUGCUAAAAAAUCCAUGGAAAAUAAGGGAAAUGGUAUUCAUGACCAUUCUAGUACAGAGUAUCGUCCUGUUGGCGAUCAUUGUGUAAUUUCGUUCUGAAAUGAGAAAAACAAGUAAACAACUGUGUUUCACUAAUGUGGUAAUUCUGCACUUGAUUUAAAAAACCUAUUAUAGCUUGAUGUGGUAAUUCUGCACCUUAUUUACAAAACCUGCUAUUGCCGAAAACAAUCAAGGAAUUCCCAGCCUUAAACUAGGGUAGCUAGAACACAAAGAGGGGGGGGGGGGGGGGGCAAUAUGUGUUUACCCUGCCUUCUGCACUGUUCUUCAUUCGUUCCAGCACACGCUCAAACGCUGGUUUCCCAGUAGUCUCUCCAAGAGCAGCUAUAAGAUCAGCCCUCCUUGGGUCAAGCAAGGCCCCAAACGCAGAACCAAGUGCAACAGCUGCCUGUUGCCACCCCUUCAGCUGCACACGCGCGCCAAGCAUGGCUCUACACGCGCCGAGAUGCUUGUAAUUGGAAUACAAAAUUGCUUGGAUUUGGAUGCUGUCCAAACGAAUAGUGUGUGUAUUUGAUGUAUUAUACGACGUAGUUCUAAUUCCCUCCUUUUGUUAAAUGAAAAUGAACUGUAUUUAGAGUCUUCUAAGUCACUGAUAAGAGCAAUUGCACUUGAGUCUUUUGUCAGUGUUUGUCCACAUAAUCAAGAUGAUUAAGACGCUGGAAAACAUUAUGUCAAUCCUUUCCCAAAUACGCUAACAAUAAUCUUAUUCCUGAGUCAUAAUCAAGCAUGAGAAGUGAAACAGUAUGCAUAAAUAUUAGAUCUGUAAGCAGUGCAGACGCUGGAUCAAUCAACCUUUGUUAAAUUCAGUAGAUGGGAUUGUGAUCCGUACAAGUCUACAAGGUAAUUUGCUUCCACCCAAAAAAAAUGUCGCACUGUUUCUGACAACACAAGUCUAGAUAGAGUUAGGAAGUAUGCAGCCUCCAUGCUUUCUGCUUCGUGAAUCCUGUUCAGUAGCCUUCCUUUCCCAGCUUCCUGCUCGGUGACAUCUGGCAGCUUCCAGACACAGUACCUCAGCCUGAGCGUUAACGGACUCGAGCAAGAAGAUGCCAUCCUUCAGCAGGGUCAUGUAUUUUUGGUCUGCUAUACUUUUGUCGUCGCUGCCAAUUUCACCAUGUCCUAUGAGCCCGGUGACAUCUCAGGCGCGUUUCGCUUCAUGUUAUCCUAAGAAUUGCAAAAUUAAUUGAGAAUUGAUGGCAUAGCAUAACUUCUCCAUAAAUUACAGUGGGUUAUGAGAUCGUUAACAUAUACAUAAAAAAACGGGGUGCUCUUUGUUAGCUUCCUGCUCCUGCGUAUAACAUACUAAUUUCGCUAUAUAAUAUGUUUGUACCUUGACUGCGGCAGCUACUGAUUUUGAUUUUUCUUCGUAACAGGCCAGGAGAAGCUAGAGUUACAAAUCGUAGUCCGUGAGAACCAGUUGAAUUUCAUCAAUCUUAUCAGGUCAUCUCAAGUUCAGUGACUCUCAACCAGGUAUUUAAUCUAUCAGUUCAUGCACAUAUGUACAAUUGCGACUCCAUUUUUAGUUUAAAUUAUGAAACAUUGUAUGUGUUCCUGUGCAAUUGUGAUUCCAUUUUUUCGUUAAAAAUAAUUAAACACUACAUGUGUUCCUUGUUUUGCUAAUACAGCAGUGUAUAUUUAUAUACCGAAAGAUCACUAUAUACUUGAUCUAGGUAUAUAUACUUACGUAUUCUUAGAAAAAAACGCAGGUUCAAAACGUGAAACGUUCCAAGUUGCUACAUUAUUAGUAUAUAAAAAUUAAUAUCGCUGAUCCAGAAUGGAACAUGUUAUUCCAAGCACCACAAAGAAGAGAAGUAAGCGCCUUCAUACCCUGUCUACAGACAUCACUUGAGUCUAGACGGAAAAAAUAUCAUCCAUGAGUUGUUAUGCUCAUACAAAAAUUUAUCAUGCCAGAACAAAUCAGUACAUGUUGCGCCCCAUCGUCUGUACCUCCUGUGGAAGCUCGUCGCAUACGUAGACAAUUGUUGAAUGAGCGAAGGUUAACAUCCUCAGGUAGCGUGAUCAUUUACCUUUUUUUAAAUAAAAAAGGAGACUGCAUAGGUACCUAGUGUUAAUAAGAUAAAUACACUAUGUUAGGUGCAUUUACAUCCUCUCAACGGGCCUCAACAUUACAAUGUGGUCACUUCGACCCAAAUUUUAUUAAAGCACUCAAAGGUACGUCUAAUUCUGGAUAUAAUCUAUUUUUAAAUAAACUGCAAUUACUAGCUGCACCUAAUAAAAAUUACGCAUUAAAAAAAAGGUGAACACUACACUUAAAAAAAGUUUAUAAGUUUGCACAUAGAGGUGGACGAGAAUAAAUGGAGAAUAUAUUUUAAAGUAAUUCUUAAAAAAAAUACUUGCUAAUACUACUUUGUCUAAAUGAAAUGCAGCUUCUUACCAUGCUCGAUCUUACUAUGGACCGCCAUGCUACCAAUGUACACACUGUUCUGCUCUUUUCUGGUAUAAUGAAAGAAUAGGAUCGUCAAGUGGAAAUCGAUCAAUUGUUUACAAUAAUUGUUGCAAAAGUGGCAAAGUCCGUCUUCCUCCUUACAGCCCUAGACCUGAACCACUGUUAUCACUAGCCCGGUUUGAUGGCGAUUCCAUAUCUAAAUCCUUCAUGCAAAAUAUCAGGCAAUAUAAUUGCUUGUUUGCAUUCCCAUCUAUGGGAGCGCAUAUUGAUAGAUCCAUGAAUGAUGGUCAUGGUCCUCCAAUCUUUAAGAUAUGCGGCCAAGUCCACCAUCGAAUAUGAUCAUUACUGUCACUAAAUGAUCAACCUUCCAAGUUUCUUCAACUUUAUGUGUACGAUACAACACAUGAGGUCAAUAAUCGGAUAAACUCUCUAUCCACUGCUGAUGGUCCUACCUCUUCUAUAAGACAAGAUAUUGUACAAGAAUUAUCAAAGAUGUUGGACGAGCACAAUCCCUUUGCUAAGAAAUUUAGGCUUGCCAGGGAAAGGCUUAAUGAACACACAAAUGAAGAAUUUAUCAUCAGAAUUAUUGGGGCUAGAGAAGGAGAUCCUGUGCAGUACAAUAUGCCAACAACCGAUGAUUUAGCCAUGCUUGUUAUUGGUGAUUUCUCACUUGAUACCUUCAAACGAGACAUUAUUAUAGAGACAAGAAAUUUGGAAUUGAGGCGUAUUUCAUCAUUGCAUCCAGCAUAUAUGGCUCUCCAAUAUCCACUUCUGUUUCCAUAUGGAGAGCGUGGGUUCCAAGUUGGUGUAGCAUAUAGUGAUACAAGGGUUAGAGGAACAAAUUCAAGGGCUCAUAUAACCAUGCAAGAAUACUAUUGCUAUCAAUUUCAUUACAAGGUUGGCCAGCCAAAUCCAUUUCUGUCUUAUGGGACACUAUCAAACUAGGCUACAGUUGAUGCUCGUGCCUGUAUUGAUGAAAAUAGACUUAUGUAUAUUCUGAAUAAUCAAGACAAAUUACGAAUAGAAAACCUUCAAGGCAUAUUAGAUGCUGUUAGUAAAGGCUGCAUAAACGGUGACGAAAUGGGAAAAACAAUCGUACUUCCGGCGUCACACAUUGGUGGACGACGAUAUAUGAUACAAAAUUACCAUGAUAGCAUAGCCAUCUGCAGAGUCCAUGGUCCACCCGACUUUUUUGUAACAUUUACAUGCAAUGCAAAGUGGCCUGAAAUUGUAGAUGGUCUUCAACACUCUAGCCAAAAAUCUUCAGAUGCACCUGAUAUUCCUGUAAGAGUAUUUCAUAUGAAAUUGGAAGAGUUGUUACAGGAUAUAAAAGGUGGUAAUAUAUUUGGUCCUUGCAAAGCAGGUGCAAAUACAUUUUACUAUGUUUUCAUGAUGAAACUAUUUAUCAUUGCAAAUCUAUUUCAAUUUCUUAUUUCUUUCAUUCCUCUUCCCCGCUCCCUAUCUACAAUUGCUGCAUACUAUAAAAUUCUAAGGAAUCUGUUUUCAUUUAUGAUUCUACCGUAUUUUUAGUAUACCUCCAUAGAUUUUAGAUGUUUAUUGUAUUGCAUACAAAUAGUGCAUACGUGUAAAUUCUACUAUCAACUUUGGUAAUAUUUAACAUAUAUUACUUUUGCUUAUUUAAAAGACUGUACCCUGGUCUGUAAAAAUACUACUCUUUCCAUACUUUAAUAUAAAAUAAGUUGUUGAUAAAACAACCGAGUUAUGCUGGGCCACGUUGGUGUUUUAGAGGUAACGACCAAGUGGUGCUUGGCGAUGUCGACGUCUUAGAGGCAACAACCGAGUUAUGCUAGGCCACGUUGGCGUUUUAGAGGUAACAGCCAAGUGGUGCUUGGCGACGUCGGCGUCUUAGAGGCAAUAACCGAGUUACUUUGGGUACGUCGGCGCUUUAGAGGUAACAACCGAGUUAUGCUGGGCCACGUCAGCGUUUUAGAGGUAACAAUCGAGUUAUGCUGAGCCACGUCGACACUUUAGAGGUAACAGCCGAGUUAUGCUGGGCCACGUCGGCACUUUAGAGGUAACUGCCGAGUUAUGCCUGGAAAUCUCGUCUUUCCCGAGUGAUGACUUAGCACUUUUUAGAAACGUGUCCAGCCCGAGAAAACCCCAUCUUUAUCACGUCGUCGCAUUCCUUUGUGUUUUGAGCCCUAACUUCACCUUUCUGCCUCAAGCCAUACCUCUGUUUCUCUCUGAUUUUGCUUCUGUUCAAUCCGCCGACGAGAUUGCGAUGGCGCCCAAGCGGAAGAACUAGAAUUCUGUUGUGGUAGUGAUCCCUCCCAUCGACCCCAACAACCAGUUGCCCUUCGUAGGUAACCAUAUGUCUGUUGUCUCUUAAUCGGAUCUCCUCCGUCUUGUCGAUGUUGGAGUUCUUCCUCCGAAGGAGCUUUGUUCUUGGCGGAUUUGCCGUGGGGUCACUGUUCCGAUAGAAGAUACCCACGAGUCCGUUGUUUAUGUUCCACCCCACCCCCUCCACCACAUUCCGAUUCCCAUUGCUAGGGUUCGUCGUGUUGGGGUUGGAGUAGACACGGCAGCGGCAGCGACUCUUCCCCCUCCCCCCUCGUACGUUUUUUUCUUGCUAGGGUUUGACUAGGAAUCCUCAUGCUGCCAUUUAGGGUUUAGGGUUCGUCGUUCGAUUUAUUCCUUCACAUCUCGCGCUCUCUCCUCUUCCCCCAAAACUCCACCUCCCCCCGCUCGCCCGCGUGCUAUACUUCUAGAGUCCUCUCUCUUUCUAGCGAAAAGGGGAGCGGUUUGAUUCCACUCCGACGACGUGACGACAGUAGGUCCAUGGCUUCCCACCUUGCUGCAUCGUCCGACCAGCCGAGCCGCUAAUUUCUUCUUGCCUCUCGAUUCUUCUUGCAUGUGUCGCCUCUCUCGUUGUCCCUUCUCGCCUACGUAUGGAUGUGCUUCAGUACAUCUUAUUUCAGUUUUAUAUUCAUUGAAUUAUGUGCUUCUGUACUCGGUAUGGAUGUUUUCAAUGGAAAAAAGCGGCUUUUGUUCUUCGGAUUUUUUAAUCCUUCCUCGUAGCCAAUAUUUCUAGCAAUGGUAAUACCAUUCAAACUGCACCUAGAGGAAUGUAAUUGAUUGCAUUAUGCCUUCUGAGGAGCUUAGAAGGCUUACGCCAUGUCAAACUGCUUUAGCACUGACGAGGAGAGACAGACCUUUGUUGUUUCUGUUUCAGAAAAAGAAGCAGCAACAACAAUCUGAACUCUGAAGAGUUGCUGUUGCUUAUGUGCUAACCGAACAAUGAAAAAAGAGGCAUGGAUUAAUGAACCACCUAGGGACAAUGCAAUCAAUUACAUUCUAAAGCUCUAGGUGCAGUUUGAAUGGUCCAUGAAGCAUCAAUCAACUUAUUAGUAAAAUGGCAUUGGCUUAAUGUGUGGAGUGCAUCCAUUUAAUUGCUUUCAUGAAUUACUGUGAUCUUUGAGAUCUGUCAAACUCAUAGCUUUACAGGUGCUACAGAUGGUAAAAAAAGAUUCUAUAGGAAAAAAUCUAGAAAAUAACAGCAUGGUUAAAUGUAUUUAGAAACAAAUGGAGAAAAUCUUUCUAAACAUGAAACUUGAAAAGCAGGGAAAUUUUCAGUAUGAUGCUAUAUCUCAAGUAACUGGAAGUUAAAACUGUUGAUGUAACACUUUGAACAAAAGGAGCAUUUUCAAAAUGCAGACUUCUUAUAUGAUUAUUUGCACAAUACAAAGGCUAACCUGUAUCGGUCACACCAUUGGUAGUUGUCCACGGAUUUAACUGCCACAUUUCAGGUUACUGCUUUGCAUUCCUUGUCCAUAUGAUGGCAGUGUGGAAGUGGAGGAAACAAAUGGAGCAAACAGUGUGUCCUGCACUGGAGAGCUCAUAGCCAUUCAGCCAUCAUAGAGAAGUCCCUUCAUCAAGUUAAUAAAUCUCUGUGAAAAUUAUGUAAUUAUGUUACACCCUUCGCAUUAUGAGAAACAUCACAAUCACCCCUGUCAUUGCCAAUGUCCACCCCUGUCAUUGCCAAUGUCCAAAAUGCAACACAACUUUCCAUCUGGAACAAUGCCUGCAUGACGCAUACUCUCGUACAUCAUACAAGCUUCCUUCUCAUCCCCAUUUUAAGGUAUCCAAAAAUGUUAAUAAGGAAGAAAGUGGAAAUAGGUGACUUACACUAUGAAGGCUUACGUAUCAAGGUUUCCAAUAUCGAUAGUGUUCCAAAAUCAUCUCUUCUAUCAUUCUUCUUUAGUCGUCGUGUUCUGCUCCGCGAAUCGCUGUCUGUGUUGCUGCACUUUUAUUUUCGCUUCGUUACGUUGUCCAUCCAUGAGCUAAACCGCAUUGGAGACACAGAUGAAAUGCUGUCAUGCAUGUUGUAUCUUCUUCGUGCUGACUUAGCGCUGCUUUGUCAGCUUUCAUAAUAAGAAAAUUUCCUUUUUGUCAUAUUUCUGACUGCUUCAAAUUUUGUAUUAUAUUUUUUAGAAAAACUGUGAAUCGCUAAUAUACCUGCCUUUUUAUUUAGCCUACAACGACGGAAAGGAAGUUGGCACCUUCAAGGGUCCUCAAACAUUGCUGCACCGGACGUUGUGUCGUGUAUCAUUGGUAAGAGUACUUUUGAAAUUCUAGAUGCUAUUAGUUUUCUGUAAGCCGUUUUAUGCUUACUAAAGUAUGAUCUAAAUCUAGCUGUUUGAUUCCUCUUUGGGAUCCUUUUUUUUCCUUCAGCAACGUGCUUUCAUGUUCCUUAAAAAUGAUUUUCUGGUUUUGAAGACUAUGUAUAGUUUCAUACAAAUAAAUACCUAUUAUGCUUGAGAUAGCUUCAGCUAAGAGUUCCUCCAUAAGUGUGCAUUCAAACAUUAAGAGAACAUUUUGCAUGAAGCAUACUUAUCAUCAGUUCUGAAUGAAAUCCUUUUAUCUGCUAACUAUAAGUUUUCUAUAUGCUAACUAUAAGUUUUACAACGCUAAAUUUUGAUUCUUAUAUCAGUCAUGUAAAUUAUCUCUUCUAGUCACCAUCCAUUAUGAUAUGGAAUCUACAACACAAGGAUGCAUAAAUAUGACAUCUUCUGGUUUUAGGACCUUAGAUCCUUAAACAAAAAAAUCAAGAAAAUGACUAUGUAUAAUUUAAAGUAAUUUUUUCAUAGGUCAUGUUCAUCACCAAAACUGCAUGUGCCUGUCAUAUCUGACAAAACAAAUACAUAUCUAAGAAUACAAGAGUUAAUCUACAUAGCUGUACAAGAAGAAUGAAUGACUUUGCGACUCCAUUUUUUCGUUUAAAUUAUGAAACAUUGCAUGUGUUCAUGUACAAUUGUGAUUCUAUUUUUUCGUUAGAAUUAUUAAACACUGCAUGUAUUCCUUGUUUUGCUGGUACAUCAGUGUAUAUUUAUAUACCGAAAGAUCACUAUAUACUUGAUCUAGGUAUAUAUGCUUACGUAUUAUUAGAAAAAAACGCAGGUUCAAAACGUGAAAGGUUCCAAGUUGCUACAUUAUUAUCGCUGAUCCAAAAUGGAACAUGUUAUUCUAAACAUCAUAAAGAAGAGGAGUAAGCGCCUUUGUACCCUGUCUACAUACAUCUCCUGAGUCUAAACAGAAAAAAGUAUCAUCCAUGGAUUGUUAUGCUCAUACAAAAAUUUAUCAUGCUAGAACAAAUCAGUACAUGUUGCGCCCCAUCGUCUGUACCUCCUGUGGAAGCUCGUCGCAUACGUAGACAAUUGUUGAAUGAGCGAAGGUUAACAUCCUCAGGUAGCGUGAUCAUCGACCUUUUUUUUAAAAAAGGAUACUGCAUAGGUACCUAGUGCUAAGAAGAUAGAUAUACUAUGUUAGGUGCAUUCGCAUCCUCUCAAUAGGCCUCAACAUUACAAUGUGGUCACUUCGACCCAGAUUUUGUUGAGGCACUCAAAGGUACGUCUAAUUCUGGAUGUAACCCAUUUUUUAAAAUAAACUGCACUUACUAGCUAUACCUAAUAAAAAUUUACGGAUUUGAAUAAAAACAAGGUGAAUACUGCACCUAAAAAAGUUUAUAAAUUUGCACAUAAAGGUGGACGAGAACAAAGGGAGAAAAUAUUUUAAAGUAAUUCUUUUAAAAAAAUACUUGCUAAUACUACUUUGUCUAAACGAAAUGCAACUUCUUACCAUGCUCGAUCUUACUAUGGACCACCAUGCUACCAAUGUACCCACUGUUCUGCUCUUUUCUGGUAUAAUGAAAGAAUAGGAUAGUCAAGUGGAAAUCGAUCAAUUGUUUACAAUAAUUGUUGCAAAGGUGGAAAAGUCCGUCUUCCUCCUUACAGCCCUAGACCUAAACCACUAUUAUCACUAGCCCGGUUUGAUGGCGAUUCGAUAUCUAAAUCCUUCAUGCAAAAUAUCAGGCAAUAUAAUUGCUUGUUUGCAUUCACAUCUAUGGGAGCCCAUAUUGAUAGGUCAGUGAAUGAUGGUCAUGGUCCUCCAAUCUAUAAGAUAUGCGGUCAAGUCCACCAUCCAAUAGGAUCAUUAUUGCCAGUAAACGACCAGCCUCCCAAGUUUCUUCAACUUUAUGUGUACGAUACAACACAUGAGGUCAACAAUUGGAUAAACUCUCUAUCCACUGCUGAUGGUCCUACCUGUUCUAUACGACAAGAUGAUAAGUUGGGUUUAUUCUUGAAAGAGUCACCUUCUUGGAUCAUGAAUUCAUGAUGCAUUAGAUAGAUGAUAAGUUGGGUUUAUUCUUUACUACUUGAUUAUUUCUCGAUUUUUAUGUACACUGUGAUCUUCUUUUGUUGAUUGAGGGUCCCUAGUAUUUGAAAUUGUCCACUUGGUAAUUAGUAGUAGUACACACCCAUCUGUUAAGUUGUCAAAAACAGAUGGUAAAAAAGAACAAUGCUUAACCAGUUAAUCAGCACGACAUCAUAAAAGAAUAGCUACGGAAUAACGUGAGUAUAAUAUUGUUGAAAGAAGCAGUUGGUAAAGGCACUCGCCCGCAAUAGCAGGAGCUUGUUAUUUCUAGCUCUAAGACGAUCUCUUCUUCAAUAAUUUUGAAUUUUCAGCAAUGACUUAUAAUAUAAUUAGAUCAAUACGACAACCUCACAUGAACCUAAAAUACGUGUAUAAUACCCGUUUUUGAUCAGGAUGUAGCUUUUCACUCUUUUUCUAUUGAAAUAUAAAAUAGAGUGAUUGAAUUUAUCUUACAAAUUAUUGUUAGAGCUGUCCUAAAUAUGUUAUUAUCUCAUGAAGCUGAGUCUGAAAAAAGACUAUCCACACCAGGGCACCAGACAAAGGCAGCUCUCCGAAUUUCAGCUGCACAUACUCAUUCUUUUCAACCAUCUAAGUUAACUUACACUUUUUCUUUUAAUCACAGAAUGUUGACAAAAAUACAGAUCAGCUGACCAACAAUGAAUUUUCAUCACCACCUAAGAAGUAUAUAUGCAAAUACAUUAGUUAUAAAAUGAAAACAAAGCAUGCCUUUUAGGCUUACAACUACAACUUUUAUUCCAUAUUAAUAUAAUAUACACUACAUGCAGAAUGAAGCACACCUAGGUUAGCAAAGGCAUGCCAGAUUCUACAUGUUCCAAGAAUGACAACAUUUAGUCCAUCCUGAAAUACAUCAAGGUAUGACACCAUUUUACUUAGCUAAUUAGUUAAGUGUCUAUGUUCUUCAAACUUUUUUCAGUAUUUAGGGUUUCCAUGGUUUUAGCUUUUCAACCUAUUUCUUAGUUUCUAUGCUCCAUUCUAAAACUUGUAUACUACACAUAUUUCAUUUGGCCACCAAACAUUGAAGUUCUAAGAUGCCACUAUUUUACUUUGCACAUAGACUGAAUGUCUCUGUUCUUCAAAAUUUGGGGUAGCUGUACGUAAAGCUGUACGUAAAGCUGCAAUGUAUUCAGUAGUUGCAGUGUGUUAACCAUAAAUGAUUUUUCGGGGUAGCUAUAUGUAAAGCUGCAAUUUCAAGGAAUACAGACGCAACUAUUGAAUUUAAACUUGCACCUUAAGCCACAAUCGUCUCAUAUAACCUAGGUGAUUCACACACAGCUGUCAAUAUUCAAGUCGUAUUUAUAUCUGUAAUACUUGCAAAAUCCAAAAUAAUAUUGCACAUAUGUACUCUGGAAAAACAGAUGGACAAGAGAUUGUCAAAUAGAGCUGACCUUGUGACACAUUCCAGUGCAAAUAGCAACUAAAUCAGCACAAUUUCAUUGUUAGCAUCACAAAAGAGUUAUGCAAAGGGUGCAUGUUGGGGCGAAGGCAAAGACGCCACCCUUCGCUCGAGGCCUUCGCCGCAGUCGCUGGUCUGACAGAGACAAAACGGGCAGGGACACCCUUCGCUCCAUUCGGCACCAGACGAAGGCCUGCGGCGACGCCUUCCCGCGGCGCGGCCUCGUUCAGUUCUGAGGCCCACGUGUGAUCUGGCCCAUUGUAACGGGCCCUGCGUGACCGCCUUUGUGUUACGAGCCUAAUUUGUAAAGGCAUGCUUGUAAUUACAGCUUGUAACCCUGCUUUAUGGGAAUAUUCUGGGAAUAAACUAGGUGUCUGAGGGCACAUGCGUCCUUAACACGAGGCGCUGGGCACUCAGAUACCUAUAAAUACCCCCGCACAGUGCCCGUGAGAGGCUGGAUUAACAGAGCUAUUGCCCCCGAGCACGUAACCCUGUUGUCACCACUGUUCACCCUUGUUGGCCUCCUUGCUGCUGAGAGCAAGUUCCAACAUUUGGCGCCCACCGUUCGUGCUACGACAAAACCACCCGCGAUGGCACCCAAGAGAGCUAACCCGAAGGCUGACGAGGCUGCGAAGGCAGCACUGCUGGCCACAAGAAAGGGCAAGUCCCUCGUCCUCACCCAAUCCACCCACCAAGAGCCCACUGAAGACAAUGUUCCCCACACCGGCGAAGACGACACCUUCCGCACCUGCGGAACCGAAGGACAAUCGCAGCCGCCCCCAGGCUUCGCCCCACUGGAAGGCGCGGACCUCACCGAGGACGGUGAGGUCCUCGGCGUCUCAACAGAAGAACAGCUACAGCUGCGUGCCCUGCGCCUCAAGAACCGCAAUCUCCAGAGGCAGAAAGAGAUACUGAAGGCCAAGCGCCAACGUGUGUCCGCACUAGCCAAGGUGCGGCAAAUGAUACGCGACGAGGAGCAGAAGGCCCAAGACCUCGAGCGCGAGAUCGCGCUGAUGCAGCGCGAAGGCCACCUCGGCCUGCAGCAAGAGCCACCCCUCCAGCAGCGUGCGCAACUGGAAGACACGCGCGAAGGCCACCUUAGCCUGCAGCAUGGCCCACCCCUGCAUCACCGGGCGCGGCCGGAGAGCCCGCGUUUCCCCCAGCGCGACCACACCUUCCAGCACGGCGCGCCAUUCCAAGGAGUCAACUACCUCGACGAGCGAAGUCCCCUGGCGCCACACCUGCAGGUGACGCCUUGGCCAGCUAACUUCCGAGCGGGGACCUAUCCCAAGUACAACGGCAGCACCGACCCGGCGCAAUACAUAAUGAGUUAUCAGGUCGCCGUUGCAUCCGCCGGAGGGGACGACGCCACAAUGGCGAAGUCUUUCAUCAUCGCCCUAGAGGGCCCAGCACUCACCUGGUUCACCAGAUUGCCUCUGCUGUCCAUUGAUUCGUGGAGAAGUCUCAGGGACAAGUUCCUGCUCAACUUCCAAGGGUACCGCCCAGACACCGACGCCUUGGCCGAGCUCUCGCUUUGCAAACAGCUGAAAAAGGAGACUCUGAGGGAGUACUACCGCAAAUUCUUAACACUCAAGUCGCAGCUGCCCUCUGUCGAUGAUCAGAUCGCUAUCCACUACGCCAUCAGCGGCCUUCGGGCCGGCGUCCUCUACAGCCACUGUAUCAGAGAUCCACCCAAGAGCUUGCAGGAGCUAUAUCAGCUCUUCGAAAAAUAUGCCAAAUCCGAAGAGCUCCACCAGCGCAAGGUUGAGUCACAGCGGAAACCCAAAGAUGCCCCGCAGUCCAGCCGCAUGUGGACGAGGACUCCGCAACCAGACUCCGGUCGAGAUGGCCGCAGUCAGCAGCAAGUGCACAACAUCGCCAACCAGCAGCCUGCUGCUGACCCCCCUCGUCGCCAAGAAUAUCCCCCCAGGGCCGCGGAAAUGGAACUCGUGGCAGGGGCCGAGGACGCGCGCAGCCGCCGCGCCGGUUCUACUGCCUUUUCCACGGCGAAGACUGCGCCCACCAAACCAAAGACUGCCCCGAGACGAAGGCAACCAGAGACAGAAUGGCGCGGGCGCAGCCAGCCGACAAUCCCAGAAUUGUCGCGCAUAAUUACCAGCCACCCCCUCCACCAUAUAUCCACGCUCCCGCUCCGCAUCCACCGCACCACGCUUACCAACACCAUCAGGAAGUACAAAUCGUACCUCCUCCACAACCACCACCACACCAGCAACAUCAAAACAUCCCCCAUGCCCCAAAGCAGGAAGACUUCGCCGAUCAACCAUAUCGCGGAGUCAUUCAAAUGAUAACAGGGGGGUCCAGCACCGACUUCGACACCAAGCGGCAGAAGCGGGACCACUACCGCAGCAUCAACCAUGUCGCCGUCACUGGCCCAGUCGUGCAGACGAAGUGGUCCCACAUACCGCUAACCUUCGACGCACGAGACGUCGACCUGCGCAGCGCCCCCCACAUCGACGCUAUGGUCAUCAAUUGCAGCGUCGCAGGCUGGGACUUACACAAAGUCCUAGUCGACAACGGCAGUCAGGCGGACAUCAUCUUCCUCCACGCCUUCGACCGCAUGGGUAUAAGCCACAGCUUGCUGAAGCCUUCGGACAACCCGUUGUAUGGUUUCGGCGGCAAGGGCACCUUUCCCGUUGGCAAAAUAGAGUUGCCCCUCUCCUUCGGUGUAGCACCCAAUGCCCGAAGUGAGCAAGUAACCUUCGACAUUGUCGACAUGGUAUAUCCAUACAACGCCAUCAUGGGCCGGGGCUCCAUCAAUAAGUUCGAAGCUGCCAUCCACGGGCUGUACCUAUGUAUGAAGAUACCAGGUCCGCUAGGCGCCAUUACAAUCUACGGCAACCAGCAGACGACGCGCAACAUAGAGCGGGACUUCGUGCCUGGUCAGAGGAAUGUACACUGUCUCACGACCCAGCGCGAGGUCCCCGCGCCCGCCAGCCCAACCGAUAAGCAGCACGACAAGGCACAGUUGCAGAGCCAAGACGGGACCAAGACUGUCCCCCUCGAUCAGGCCACGCCCAAGCAGACAGUAACUAUCAGCGAAGACCUCACCUCACUUGAAGAAGAGAAACUUCUCUGCUGCCUGGCCAAGAAUAAAGAUGUCUUCGCCUGGUCCGCCCUCGACCUGGUCGGAGUCAGCCGAUCCAUAAUUGAGCACAGCUUGGGAAUUGACCCUUCGGUGCGACCCAAAAAGCAGAGGCUUCGCAAAAUGUCCGACGAAAAGACAGAGGCCGCCAAGGCGGAGGUGCACCGCCUCAUGGAGGCUAAAUUCAUUGUGCCAGUGGCUUACCCCACGUGGCUCUCCAAUGUCGUAAUGGUGCAGAAAAAAAACGGGAAAUGGCGAAUGUGCAUAGAUUUCACCAGUCUCAAUAAGGCCUGCCCAAAGGACAAUUUCCCGUUGCCGCGGAUCGACAAAAUAGUCGAUAGCGCGGCCGGAUGCGAGGUCAUGUCUCUCCUCGACUGCUUCUCCGGCUAUCACCAGAUAUACAUGAAGGAGGAAGACAAGGCCAGCACCAGCUUUAUAACACCCUUCGGCACUUAUUGCUUCGUCAGAAUGCCGGAGGGUCUCAAGAAUGCCGGGUCCACCUUCUCCAGACUCACCAAAACAGUACUCGAAGGGCAGGUCGACAGAAAUAUAUUUACAUAUGUGGACGACAUCGUCGUCGCCAGCAAGAAUAAGGAGGACCAUCUCGCCGACCUGGCCGAGACAUUCGCGAACAUGCGAGAUGCACGACUCCGCCUAAACCCGGAAAAGUGCGUCUUCGGUGUUCGCCAGGGCAAGAUAUUGGGCUACCUGGUGUCACACCGCGGCAUCGAGGCCAACCCAACCAAGAUCCAGGCCAUCGUCGACAUGUCGCCUCCGCAGUCCGCCAGGGACGUCCAGCGUCUGACAGGCAGAUUGGCCGCUCUCAACAGAUUCAUCUCCAGGUCCGCCGAGCGAAGUCUCCCCUUCCUCAAAACACUCCGCAGUGCGAGAGACUUCGCCUGGGACCGGAGCAAGCAGCGGCCUUCGCCUCACUAAAACAGUACCUGUCGGAGCUGGCCAUCCUCACAAGCCCCGACUCCUCGCUCCCCCUAUUGCUCUACGUCGCAGCUUCGCCGCACGCGGUCAGCGCAGCACUAGUGCAGGAGCAGACAGUCGAGGGCGCAGUCAGACAGUGCCCUGUUUACUAUGUCUCCGAGGUCCUGACACCGUCCAAAUGCAACAUGACAGAGCUGGAGAAGAUCGCCUACGCAGUUGUCAUGUCCUCGCGCAAGCUGCGCCAUUACUUUGAAGCAUUCAAGGUCCGAGUCACCUCAGACAGGGGGCUCGGCGAACUAUUCAGAAACCCGGAGGCAUCGGUGAGGAUUGCUAAGUGGGCAGCCGAACUCUCCGGCUACCACAUCAGCUUCGAGCCCAGGACAGCCAUCAAGUCGCAAGUCCUGGCAGACUUUGUCGUCGACUGGACUGGGCCAGUUACACAGCCGGACCCGUCCACAGAGAAGGUCUGGACCAUCCAUUGCGACGGCGCAUGGUGCCAUGCGGGGGCAGGCGUCGCCGCAGUCGUCACCUCGCCAGCCGGAGUCAAACACAGAUAUGCAGCACGCUUCAACUUCGCUCUGGAAUCCGACAGAUGCACAAACAAUGUAGCAGAGUAUGAAGCGGUUAUCCUCGGCCUCCGCAAGCUAAGGGCCCUCGGAGUCACCACAUGUAUCAUCAAGACAGACUCCAAGAUAGUUGCCGGCCAGGUCGAGAAAGACUAUGCAGCAAAAGACCCCGCGCUCAUGCAAUACCUCGCGGCUAUCCGAAGUCUCGAGAGACAGUUCAAGGGAUUCACCUUGCAGCAUGUGGAUAGGGCCAAGAACGAGGAGGCCGAUGCAUUAGCCAAGGCCGCCGCUAGGGGCGAGCCCUUGCCCUCCGACGUGUUCUUUCACACCAUCGGCACGCGAGCCGUCCGGAGCCCCGAAGGGCUCCAAAUAACUAAUGAUAGCGAGGGCCACCACAUAGUCAACCUAAUCAUGACCGAAGACUGGCGGGCACCAAUAACCCUGUUCCUACAGGGGUACUAUCAUCCAACCGACGUCAGUGAGGCAAAGCGCCUCAGACAUCGAAGCCGGGACUUCGCACUGAUUGAGGGCCAAUUAUACAAGAAAGGGGUCAGUCAGCCAAUGCUUAAAUGCGUCACCGAAACCGAAGGCAUGCAGAUCCUACGCGAAGUCCACAGUGGCACGUGCGGCUCACACGCAGGGCCAAGGGCCCUGGCGGCCAAGGUGAUCCGACAAGGGUUUUACUAGCCUGCAAUGAUCUGCGCCGCAAAUCGAGUCACAAGGUCCUGCGAAGCCUGCCAGAAGUUCUCUCCUCGGUCAGGCAACCCCUCGCAAUAUACAAAGCUGAUUGCCCAUACAUGGCCUCUCCAGCGCUGGGGCCUGGACAUUGUCGGGCCCCUGCCCACCGCUCAGGGGAACCUUAAGUUCGCCUUCGUAGCCGUCGAAUACUUCACUAAAUGGAUUAAAGCGAGGGCUGUUUCCACAAUCACAUCAAAGACUACCCAAAAAUUCUUCUGGCAGAACAUUGUUUGCCGCUUCGGAGUACCGUCCGAGCUAACAGUUGACAACGGCAAGCAGUUCGACAGUCAAGAUUUCAAGGAUUUUUGUUUCUCCAUCGGCACCAAGCUUGCCUUCGCUUCAGUCUAUCAUCCGCAGUCCAACGGGGUCGUGGAGCGUGCCAACGGGAAAAUCUUCACAGCUGUCAAGAAGAUGCUCCUCGAUGAAAAAAAGGCAGAUGGACCGAUUUAUUACCGGAGGCAGUCUGGGCGCUAAAUACAACUGAGUGCAGGGCGACCGGGUUCACUCCUUUCCGCCUUCUAUACGGAUCGGAGGCAAUGACCCCGCAAGAAAUAAAGCAUGGGUCCCCGCGUACAGUUCCGUCAGCCGUCCCCGACGUGGACGAGCCAACUUCAAAAGAUCUCAUUGACGGAGACCGGGUCUUCGCCCUACAGGCCCUAAACAAAUACCAAGCCCAGACCAAAGCAUGGCGCGACCACACAGUCAUCCCGAGGGAGUUCAGCGAGGGGGACCUCGUACUCGUCCGAACAGCUCGGACGGAGUCCAAGGGCAAGUUGGAGCCCAAGUGGGAGGGCCCCUUCAUAGUCAAGACAAAAGCUUCCCCUAGCGCUUACAGGCUCACAACGCCAAACGGCGAGGACCUAGAGCACUCCUGGAACAUCGACAACCUUCGCAAAUUUUUUGUUUGACCCAUUUAGGGCUGAUUUCGCCCUUGUAAUUCGCCGCAAUCAAACUUAUACCGGCCCGCACUCUUUUCCUCCCGGGGGGUGAGGUUUUUAACGAGGCGGAGCCAUGUAAUAUAUGUGAGAAAAAUCCCCCGCAAAAAUAUGUGUCGAAAAAAGACCGCGACAACGGUCUUCGGCAUUCGACCAAUUCGAAGUCACCGCGAGGCUAAGCGCUAGCCACCCUCGCGUGCGACAAAUCCGCGCAGAAGUCGCCUAAGGGUGCAGCCGGACUAAGCACAACAAGUGCGAAAAAAUCCGAUGUCUAUCGCGAAGACUAUCCGCGCAGAAGUCGCCUAAGGGUGCAGCCGGACUAAGCACAACAAGUGCGAAAAAAUCCGAUGUCUAUCGCGAAGACUAUCCGCGCAGAAGUCGCCUAAGGGUGCAGCCGGACUAAGCACAACAAGUGCGAAAAAAUCCGAUGUCUAUCGCGAAGACUAUCCGCGCAGAAGUCGCCUAAGGGUGCAGCCGGACUAAGCACAACAAGUGCGAAAAAAUCCGACGUCUAUCGCAAAGACUAUCCGCGCAGAAGUCGCCUAAGGGUGCAGCCGGACUAGCACAACAAGUGCGAAAAAGCCCGAAGUCUAUCGCAAAGACUCCGCGCAGAAGCCGCCUAAGGGCGCAGCCGAACUAGUACAACAAAAGCAGAAACGACAGCAUCAAACCAUCCGCGCCAAGACCGACUAUAAUCACACCAGCACAGCAUAACCAACCAUACCAGACAAAGUACACAGCGCCCUCGCAGGCACAGGCAUGCGAGGGCACACAACUUCAUCUUACAAGCCCUUACACAUAUACAAGCGAGGGCACCACGCUCUACAUCGGCUCAACCUUAGGAAUAAUUCCCAUCUCCCUAUAAUUAAAUAACAUUAUCCUAAGCUCUUCACCCGCAAAAAGGCUUCGCAGUUCCCCUUCCCCUGUACCCACGGCGGCCGGCAAAGACAACAGCUCCUGCCGACCAACCCUACUCACGCGAAGUCGAGCCCCUUCCUCCGCAUUAACCCUACGCUUUGCAUCCGCCCUUCGUCGUCGGCGCCCGGUGCUAGGACCUGGCACGUCUGGCGCGUCCGCGGCGUGUGGCGAAGCCUCCGCCGCAGCCACAUCCAAGGCCACAAAAUAAUCCAAGUCCUCCUCCGACGACUCUUCAGUCCACUCAACCGAGCUCCCAGAAUCAGUAAAAUCAAAAAACUCAGAUGCAGACCCACCAUAUUCAUUCCCACCUUCCGCGGUCGAAGCCGCCAAAAACUCAGUAGUAGCGGUUGCGUGCGCAGGCCCAAAAUCUUGAACCUGCGCAGCAACCAAAAUUCAGCACAACAUCCAAAAAUUCCCCAACCCUAAACACCCACUACGCCACCUGCGAAGGCCCUGCCGCUGCGGGAGCCUCCGCCGUUGGCUCCGCCGCUGCUUCCGCCGCCACCGCCGCGGGAUCUUCAGCGCUCGGCACAGCAGCUGCGGGGGCAUCAGGCGCGCCUUCGGCCACCUUUGGGGGCAGGUCUUCGCCGGCCGUAGCAGAUGUGGGGGCGCCUGGCGCGUCUUCCGCAGUCUCCGGGGUUGGUUCCGGGGCGACUCCAGUCGCGGCCUCCGCAGGGGUCGGCUCCGGGUCAGGCAGCGCGCUGUUCAGUGCCCCGAAGUCGUCCACCCGCUCGCCACGCUCCGCCUAAGACAAAACACACAAAAAUUCAGCAAACACACGCACAGACCACAUCCAGCAAACGCCGAACAAACGACAACGUUACCUGAGCCCUCGCAGCCUCGGCCCGCUCCCUGACCACCUCACGACCGUACAGACCCCACAUCCGGUCAUAGAGGGCCCCGGCGGAUUCCUUCACCACGGGGUCUUCGACCUCAUAGAUAUCUCGCCCAAAAUCUUCAUCUGCCUGGUCGAAGGCCUCAAAGUGCCGGCACCCUUCGCGAGAGAGUGCGUUCACCGCCCCCUCGCAGGUGACCAGGGAGGUGAACGACAUUAACCCCCCCAAGACAGUGGGGAGCUCCUGCAGCUCCUCCUACACCCAUUCCAGACAGCGAAGCUCGGGCUCUCGCUCCGGCACCUCGAAGUCACUGGUCCGCGCACCCAGCUCGCGAUAUGUAGCCAUAAGCUGUGUGCGCGUCCGUUCGGCCUCCGCUCGCGUCGCGGCCUCGGCCCCCUUCGCGCGGCUCUCCAGGGCAGUAAGCCGCUCCUGCAGCUGACCGGCGAGCUCCUUGGCAAUAUUGCCUUCCGCCCGCGCCAGCUUGGCCUCCGCCUGCGCAACCUGCUCUUUGGCGAUGGCUUCGUUGGCCUCCCUCCUCUCCCCCGCCAGCUGGCGCCGGAGGUCAGCCUUCUCCUUCUCCAGGGCGGCCACCCUGUCCGCCAGUUUACGACACUUGCUGUCGGAGGCCAAUUUCUCACGGACAGCGUCAGCAUGUUGCGUCCGAAGUCUCUCGACUUCGGCAGACAAAGCUGCCGUAAGGGCCCCCGACGCAGUACGGCUGGUGAAGUCAGCCACCUGCAGAGCACACGUAAGGCCAUUGCCGUAAAAAAAAGGGGGGGGGGGAAGAGUAUAGCUCAGCGGACCUGACUCAGCGCCUCCGUCGCUUGACUCAGCGCCUCCGUCACUCCCUUCAGCCGGCGGGUCGCCACUCCCGCCUCGUCCCUGACCAGCGCGAGGGCCGACACCUCGCCUCCGGCGCCAAGCGCCUCGCCCCACGUCUUCGGCACUUUGGCGGCCGUCGCGAUCGCCGCGCCAGGCGCAACUAUAGCGAGCUGGCCCUCGUCCGGCCCUGCAACGCGUCAACAAAUUAAAAAAAAAAUUAAUAGGCCAGCGACUUACCACCAAGAUAGUCGUCCACAGUAAUAUCGGUGCCGAAGUCGGCAACACGUUUGCCCGCCAACGGCAGCGCUCGGGCCGCCUUCGAAGCCUCCGCCACUCCGCUGGCCGGCGGCACCACCUUCGUUGACUUGGAGCCUCCGGCGCCCGCCGUCGCCUCCGGCGCCUUGCUAGGUGCAGAGGCGCCCGUCUUCGCCGCCAGCGGUGGCUUGCCUCCGCCGGAGGCCGCAGCCUUCGCAGUUCCCCGCUGCCUUUUCGGCCGAGCUUCGUGAAUCCUGACAGUCGCCUGGCGCUUUUGCGCUGCCCCUUGGCGAUCUUUGUCCAUCACUGCCGACACAACAGCAGCAAUAUUGUGCCCGUAAGGAAAAACUCUCCAUUGACGAACCAUGCGAGAUGUAAAACAGUCCUCGUCAGCCGCGCUGGGAAUAGGAACAUUCCUAGGCCAACAACCCCCGGUAACCCUCAGCAUCCGAGCCGAAGACUCCCGGAGCUCGGGCGAAGACAUCCUUUCCCCCGGGGCCACACACGUCCUCAUUAACUCUCUAGCAAAGCUAUCAGAAACCCCAAGUCCUCCCAUCGCAGUACCUAAUUUUCUCUUUUUUGAGGAAGGGGCGGCCACCAGCGCAGGGUCGCCUCCAGUCUCCACCGCCGGUUUCUUCCCACGGCGGUCCGCUUCGUCUUGACCAGGAUAGCCGUCGUACGGCAAUUGAUUUAAUUCGAAGACCCUGUUCAAACGGUCAUUUGACCCGCGGAUAUCAAAGCUGCGCUGGCCUUCCGUCCUCGGCACGUAACGCCCCACGAGCCGCACCGCCUCGUCCUCCGCAUCGCGCACAAAGGCGGCCGGGUCGCGGUUUCGUAGAUUUAGUGCGAAGGCAGGGCUUCGCACCACCCUCCCUCCGUGAAAAGGCAUCUGGCGAGGGCACACUUCGCCCAGCGCCCAGCCGUGCGCCAAGGGCCACACCCCGUACGCCACAAACUCUUCAACUAAAUCACGCCCACUGCUCUGACCGGCGGCGCACCGAAGGGCCCCUUCGUCUGCAUCUUCCUCCGCCACUUCAAAGGGCGGAUACGCAGAGUAAUAAUGAGAGCACAACUCAGACACGGGGAGUCCCUCAUGGUCUUCGACAGUACCCUCCGCAACGUAAAACCAAAAUUCAUUCCAAUUGCCCCACUUGUUGCGGGCGCACGGAACCAACUCCACUACUGGCAUUGUGGUCUUGCCGGUCUUCGGCGUGAAUGUGCAUGACCCGAACCGGGCAAUUCCGUCCCCAACCACCCUCUUCUGCCAAUGCAAACAAUAAUUCUUCGCAAAAACUUCAACCGGAGGCUGUCCGCCGUACGAAGUCGUCGCCCAGACAUACUUCGCCAGCGCCACCAUGGCAUUCGGUGUCAGCUGAUGUAUUUGAACACUGAAUCUACGCAGGACUUCGCCAACAAACCGGUGCGCAGGCAAGCGGAGACCGGCGGCGAAGAACGCCUCGAAAACAACCAACUCACCCUCCGGCUCGGGGACUUCCUCCGUCCCUGGAGCACGAGCAACUCCGCCGCCAAAGUAGCCCAACCGCUGCAUAUCUUCAACGCGGGCUGGCGUCAUCCGUGACACACCAAAAUCAACAGAGUCGCCGGCGCGCAACUCUUCCACCAUCACGCUACUCAACGUCUCCUCUGACGAGGCGGCGGCCGGCGGCGUGGUGUCGGCGGAAGAAGAAGAGGACGGCAUUGCUACGUACCGUCGGCGGCGGCGGGCGGUCUGCUUCACUCGAGCCAGAACUCCGGCGAGCAAAAGGAGCAGCGGAAGAAGAGGAACAGCAAGACGGCGGGUGGCUAGGGUUUUCACGGAGCGCGGAAGGCAAAGUUUAAACAGCGCCAACCCCCGCCCCCUUUUAUAGGCAGGGCGCGGCUCUUCGGGAAACCCGCAAUCCGAUAGGGCGCGACGCUUCGGGAAACCCGCAAUCCAACAGUACGCCGUCCAUCAACGGUCACAUCAAAAACCCCCGCGGAACCACUUCGAGCGAGGGCAGCGUCUCCGCCAUCUAGCGACGUCUUCGGCACCAGGUGACUUUGUCGAACUGGUCCCUCGGAGGGCAAAUGUUGGGGCGAAGGCAAAGACGCCACCCUUCGCUCGAGGCCUUCGCCGCAGUCGCUGGUCUGACAGAGACAAAACGGGCAGGGACACCCUUCGCUCCAUUCGGCACCAGACGAAGGCCUGCGGCGACGCCUUCCCGCGGCGCGACCUCGUUCAGUUCUGAGGCCCACGUGUGAUCUGGCCCAUUGUAACGGGCCCUGCGUGGCCGCCUUUGUGUUACGGGCCUAAUUUGUAAAGGCAUGCUUGUAAUUACAGCUUGUAACCCUGCUUUAUGGGAAUAUUCUGGGGAUAAACUAGGUGUCUGAGGGCACAUGCGUCCUUAACACGAGGCGCUGGGCACUCAGAUACCUAUAAAUACCCCCGCACAGUGCCCGUGAGAGGCUGGAUUAACAGAGCUAUUGCCCCCGAGCACGUAACCCUGUUGUUACCAUUGUUCACCCUUGUUGGCCUCCUUGCUGCUGAGAGCAAGUUCCAACAGUGCAACAGUAAACAUUUGACUCUGUAGGAAAAAAAAUAAUGUAGACUACAUAGUAAAGUAGAAACUUCCCACCUUUUCUUUUCUUCUUCUAGCCUUUGCGUAUCAAUAGCAUUCUUAUUCUCUUCCAACCCAAGGUGGGAACUUUGAGAUGCAGUAACUGGAAACUUAAUGACACUCGGACUACUCUUUCUUCUGUAACGCUUCCGUGAUGGAGGUGGACUAUUGUGCCUCCUAGGACAUGGAGAACAGCUCUCACGCCUUCUCGGGGAAGGCAAAGGGCUCCUCCUUCUGCAAGACAAAGAUGAGCACUGUAAGGAUAAAAUUAGGAUCAUCACAACAAUAGACAAGGAAUUACCAUUAUCUCUUGAAGCCCUAAAACAUGGGCAAAAGCAGUUACCUUAGACACUGUUACAGGGGUAGAGCAUUCCACAACAAUACAGCACAGUGUAAAAGCUUUGUAGAUUCCAUGCGUUUUACGAAAACAACUCUUGUUAGUCUCUAUAGGCAGGUAAUGCAAAACAUGGCAUAACUAUAUCUAAGCUUCAUCUGCUGAUAUAUUCCAUGCUGCAUCGAAGCAUUUUUAUUUUAACUCCGAUUGUUUAAACACUUUGUUUAAACAUUUUUAUUUUGUACGAGCAAAGAAGAGAAGAAAGGCUCAAUCUUGUACAAUCUUGUAAAACCUCUGAUUGAUGAAGGUAUUGCCACCGAGCUGUUGUAAGUUGGGGAGAAUCGAUGCCUAUCUGCCAAAACCAUGGUGGUUGGUGCUUAGUUCAUGGCCUGGGCUGUCACAUUGAGGGCACUGACAAUUAGGUCUACAAUGGGUUAUGGAACACUGAUUUUACAUUUGAAAUUUGUAG